This is a regulatory RNA element of Legionella geestiana, 80 nucleotides long. It matches the Rfam family "RAGATH-32 RNA". Rfam says of the family: Legionellales (_-Proteobacteria). Nearby to self-cleaving ribozyme genes NCBI's taxonomy places the organism in Bacteria, Pseudomonadati, Pseudomonadota, Gammaproteobacteria, Legionellales, Legionellaceae. The record is from Rfam.
GUGGCUGGACGUCAAGUCGGGAACCCUUCAUGGAUUAUCUGCCAAUCGGCAGGGUAUGUUAUUCAACGAAUAUACUGUCA